This 275-nucleotide long non-coding RNA is filed under the name Populus trichocarpa (black cottonwood). Its description in RNAcentral is "long non-coding RNA (PTRI_LNC000185)". Lineage: Eukaryota; Viridiplantae; Streptophyta; Magnoliopsida; Malpighiales; Salicaceae. The record is from RNAcentral.
CUCAAAAGUAGAAUGACCAACACAAAGGGUGAGUCUUUGCAGCAAGGGUGAGUCUUUGCAGCAAUUUGUGAGAAGCAACAGGCCAGAACCUCAAGAAAGAAGAGUAAAAGAAAUAGGAUCAAUUACGCAAGAAAUCCAAAGCAGAGCUGAGAAGAAAAAUGGAAAGCAAAAGAAGGUACCAGACGAAAUGAAACGCAAGAGAAAUAUGCAGGAGAGGAAACAGCACAAAAAGCAAAGAUAAACAUUACAAUUAGAAUGAAAAAAUUACUUAACAG